RNAcentral lists this unclassified non-coding RNA (183 nucleotides) under Marquandomyces marquandii. RNAcentral describes it as "partial internal transcribed spacer 2". The record is from RNAcentral. Lineage: Eukaryota; Fungi; Ascomycota; Sordariomycetes; Hypocreales; Clavicipitaceae. RNAcentral also lists the same sequence under 2 other names.
CAACCCUCAGGUCCCCCUUUUCGGAGGGGGAGACACCCUGGUGUUGGGGGACGGCCUGGCCUUCUGCGCCGCGCCGCCCCCGAAAUGAAUUGGCGGCCUCGUCGCGUGCCACCCCUGCGUAGUAGCACAACCUCGCAACGGGAGCCCGACGCGGCCACUGCCGUAAAACGCCCAACUUUUAAG